This 427-nucleotide ribosomal RNA is filed under the name uncultured bacterium. RNAcentral's name for it is "partial 16S ribosomal RNA". It matches the Rfam family "Bacterial small subunit ribosomal RNA", at positions 355 to 774 of the family's 1533-position model. The record is from RNAcentral.
UGGGGAAUAUUGGACAAUGGGCGAAAGCCUGAUCCAGCCAUGCCGCGUGUGUGAAGAAGGUCUUCGGAUUGUAAAGCACUUUAAGUUGGGAGGAAGGGCAUUAACCUAAUACGUUAGUGUUUUGACGUUACCGACAGAAUAAGCACCGGCUAACUCUGUGCCAGCAGCCGCGGUAAUACAGAGGGUGCAAGCGUUAAUCGGAAUUACUGGGCGUAAAGCGCGCGUAGGUGGUUUGUUAAGUUGGAUGUGAAAUCCCCUGGCUCAACCUGGGAACUGCAUUCAAAACUGACUGACUAGAGUAUGGUAGAGGGUGGUGGAAUUUCCUGUGUAGCGGUGAAAUGCGUAGAUAUAGGAAGGAACACCAGUGGCAAAGGCGACCACCUGGACUAAUACUGACACUGAGGUGCGAAAGCGUGGGGAGCAAACA